Molecule: ribosomal RNA, 424 nt
Filed under: Watasenia scintillans (sparkling enope)
Lineage: Eukaryota; Metazoa; Mollusca; Cephalopoda; Oegopsida; Enoploteuthidae
Description: partial 12S rRNA
Source: RNAcentral
AUACCAAUUACUUUAAAUUUAUAUUAAGAUAGUAUAAAAAAAGUAUUGAAUGAAUAAAUAUUUAGAAUUGAUGAGAGACAUAGUUGUAGGUAAAAUUUAAUUAUUUCUAUUGAUUAAAUUUUUCUAGAUAAAUUCUUUGAAAAUAAGGUAUGAAAAACUAGGAUUAGAGACCCUAUUAUUCUUUAUUUUAAAAUUUUUUAGUUACUUAGGUAGUACGAAUAUGGUUAAUAUAUUAAACCUUUUAUGUUUGUUUAAAACUUAAAAGGCUUGGCGGUGUUAUAUAUCCUUCCAGGGGAGCUUGCUUGUUAAUUUGAUAAUCCUCAAUUUAUACUUACUUUUUCUUGAAUGUAAACAGUUUGUGUAUUGCUGUCGUCAGUUUAUUUCGUAAGAAUUUGGAAAAAAACUUGACAACGUAAGGGUUACC